GCUGGGCACAGUGGUGCAUGCCUGUAAUCCAGCUACUCAGGAGGCUAAGGCAGUAGGAUCACAAGUUCCAGGCCAUCAUUGCAAACUUUGCAAGACUCUGUCUCAA
RNAcentral lists this small RNA (106 nucleotides) under Marmota monax (woodchuck). The record is from RNAcentral. Lineage: Eukaryota; Metazoa; Chordata; Mammalia; Rodentia; Sciuridae.